Chiloscyllium plagiosum (whitespotted bambooshark) is the source of this 2793-nucleotide non-coding RNA. The record is from RefSeq and is a predicted model, not a curated record. NCBI's taxonomy places the organism in Eukaryota, Metazoa, Chordata, Chondrichthyes, Orectolobiformes, Hemiscylliidae.
CUAGAAUGGCACAAGACUUAUGACAUCCAUCUGUGAGAUUUCUAACUUAACUUUUCAUUCUGAUACAUGGGAGAAAAACAGCAACGUGACGUUUCUGAAAACCAACCAAAUGGCAUAAGUUGAAGAGAUCUAAAUAAAGGAAUGGCAAACAAAGUGGACAGACAACAUGGUGAGAAUUUGGCUGCAGAGCAGCAGAAUUCUAGCAACCAAACAAAAAGCAUGGACUGGACUGUCAUUGCCCUCACCUGCCAAUACAAGGAUAGUAUUUAUGCUUUUCAAAGAGGUUGCUGAAGCCAAUUAUAAGGUCCUGAUUGUUGUCCUGACCACGAUCAACUGACACAGUGCAGGCCAGAAAGAAAACAAAAAGGAUUGCAUAAUCCAGAUCAUGGCGGAAGACUGGACACUAAGACCAGGAAAGAAGCUACUAUUAGGGAGCUGACUCAGCACGGAUGGGGAUGUAAACUUCAGGCUGAAGAGGCAGGUGGAGCUGGUUACUGCACAGCAUGUGCAGAUCCAGUCCAUUGUCUCCUCCACACCAAGGAAAUGAUGGCCUUGUAGUAUUAGAUUAAUCCAGAAGCUCAGUGGAUAUUCCAAGGACCUGGGUUCAAAUCCUGCCAUGGCAGAUGAUGGAAUUUGCAUUCAAUAAAAAUAUCUGGAAUUAAAAAUUUACUGAUCACCAUGAACUGGCUAGCUCAGAUUUUAAAGUUACGUUUCCUCGUGCUGGACUCUGAUGCCAGCAAAUACAGUUUCACUGUCUAUCCCUAGCAAAUCCUUUAAUCAGCGAAAUGCAUUACUUACGCAUCCCUUAAUCUUGGCAACCUCUCCUCAUAGUUUAAUCCUCUUAGCUCAGUGUCAUUCUAGUGAAUUUGCACACCUCUGAGCCCAGUAUAUGCUUCGCAAGAAAUACUGAUUAUUAUGCUUUAUGUAAAUAAUUAAAAAUCUUGCACAGAUCAACAAAGUCACUGAAGGCUGUCUUGUAACUUUUCACUGUUAAAAUGUUACAUUUACCUAUAAUUAUUAUUUGUUAGGUUAUGAGGUAAUAUAAAUUUGACAGUUAUUUUCCUCUGAGUCUAAAAAUUCUAGUCUGCAAAGCCAGGUGACAAGCAAAGGGAAAUUAAAAUGUUUACACUUGUUGCAAUGACAUUCCACGUCUUGGAAUUACUUUUGUUUAUUUUGAUGCCUUCAUUAAAGCUUAAAGGCUUCAACCAAGUCUAGACUUGGAAUUGAUGCUUUUCCUCAGAUGUGACUUCAUGAGAUGAAUUUGGAUUAGGUAGCAGUGUACCUAAUUUCCCAAAAGGGUUCAGUCCAAUUUAGUCUGAAAUACCACUGUGCCAUAGAGCCCUAAGAACUGUGGUCCGAAAAAUAUUAUACUCAACUUGUUCAGAGAUGUCAUGACACAUUCUUGCAGCAGGUGAGACUUGAACCCAAGCCUCCGGGCUCAGAGGUAGGAACACUACCACUGAUCCAUAGGAGUCCCCAGUCUUAGCUCCUUUUUGGUUUUAGAUACCCCCACCACUACCAGCAGUUUGUUUAGGGUAAUUCACUGUCACAAUCUUCCUUUGUCUUGAUAUUUCCUAAUCAAUCUGUUCAAAUAAAUUAUGACAUAGCUCUGGAGCAGGUCGGAUUUGAACUGAGUUUCCUAGCUCAGAGGUAGGGUCACCACCAUUGCACCACAAAAGCCUUCUGAACUCUGUUCCUAAAUACAAAAGUCCAACAAACAUUACCUGCUCUCAAUCAACUCUGGACCUGUUCUGGUUGAGCCUAAAAAGACCAACAUUUCUAAAUCCCACAGUUCAUCUAGGAAUGGUGUUUCCACAGUGCUGUUAAUUAGCGGGUUCCAGAAUAUUGGCCCAGCAGUGAUAGAGAAGCAUCAAUAUUUGUAUAAUCCUAAUGCAGCAUAACGUGGAAGAAGAAUUUGGAAGUAGCAUUAUAUUCAUGCAGUUGCUGCCCUUGUUUCUAUGUGGUGAAAGUAUAUGUUUGGGAGGUGCUCUUAAAGAUGCCUUAAUAUGUUGCUGCUGAGUAUACUGCAGUAAGUAUGUGGAGAAAGUGGAUGUUUAAAGUAAUGAUGGGUUGUAAAUAUCAUCUUUUUAAAUGUAAGCAACCUUUGUUGUAAAAUGACAUUCAUUCAGAUUUACCAUGAAUGGCUAAUCUAAUUUGUGACUGGUUUUGUGUAUAACUCACAUUAUUUGUAAAAACCACAUCUAUUACAAUAAUGUAUACUUGUUGAUUUUACUUAACUCUGUAUUCUCCAUGCCAGCUGUCUAAAGUAGAUGAUGAUGUUGCCAAUUUACCAUAGAUCAUAGUAUAUAAAUCAACUUCCUCACCUCAUUUUCCAGCUAAUACUUGUUUAGGUCUCUGUUUAUAUCUGGAGAAAACUAUCCCCCAGGUUUUGAAUACUUUCUGGACCCUACUUUGUUUUAACUCUGAAGAAUUUGCAGUGUGUCAUUUUUAAAUUGGACUUCACAAAACAGAUGUUUUUGUAGGGGGAAACCACCCAUCUAUUUCAAAGGGGAAAAGAAACUUAAAAAUUGAAGAACCCCGACCAAAAAGGAGAUCUAUAAAAAUAAUUCAGUUGACCUCUCCACAUUGUGCAUGAUGCAGAUGAGAAAUUUAAUGCUGAUUUGUUAUAGCUGAGUAUUUAGCUGGUACAAAAUCCCUCCGGCUGCAUGUGAAAAACAUCUUUAGAUCUCAAGGGAGGAUCCAGUGAGAAGCAACACUAGAAAAUAAAUUUUAAAAACAAACUAAUUUAUAGAAAGCAGAUAGCACUAAUGAGGAAAUAUAAUAAUCUAACCC